UUACCUUGAAAUUUAUCCAACAACCGUGGGAACAUAAACAAUGGCUUCCCUCACGUUUUCGCGAAGCGAAACCCAACCGCAAACAGUGCCUUUUCCAGCGACAUUCAACAGUACAGACAAGUGCAACGCGAUACUCAUAGCUUUGAAGUCAUCAAUCAUUUGUAAAACACUUAAAGCGCUGAACAGAUUGAUAUGGGAUUGAGUAGGAUUGUAAAGGAUAGUCCCGGUUUUCCAGGGACUGGCUGAAUCCUGUCCCUAUCAUUGAAAACUUAGAUUUGAUCUAAGAUUUGAGGGAUACACACUAACUCUCAUAUAGCCCUACGGCAGUAGUUACCCAUAGGUUAUCCAAAAAGCGCCUGGCUUUGCUGGUGGAGAACCAAUGCAGCAUUCCACAAAUACAACAAGGGAAGAUGAUCUAUCUGUGGAUUCUGCUCUCGAGCGCGCUCUCUCGCACAGGUCUUACCGGGGAA
Molecule: unclassified non-coding RNA, 470 nt
Filed under: Drosophila pseudoobscura pseudoobscura
Lineage: Eukaryota; Metazoa; Arthropoda; Insecta; Diptera; Drosophilidae
Description: GA32514
Source: RNAcentral